ACCUCCCGGCAGCCUUGCCAGGCCCAGAACUCUCUCCAGUCAGCCUCUACAGACCAAGCUCAUGACUCACAAUGGCCUAUUUAGGCCCAUAGCCUACCUCACGGCAGUCUCCGCAGAUGAGCCUACUGCCUCACAACAGCCUCCACAGGCACAGCUCCAUCGUUCCAAUGGCCUCUUUAGACCCAGCUCCUGCCUCCCAGCCUUGUCUCCAGGCCCUGAACUUUCUCCGGUCUCCCUCUGUUGUCCAAGGCUGGAGGGUAGUAGUGCUAUCGCAGCUGACUGCAGCCUCAACCUUCCAGGCUGAAGCGAUCCUCCCAUCUCAACCUCCCACGUGGCUGAGACUACAGGUGCUUGCCACUACGCCCAACUAAUAUUUGGUUUUUUCAUAUACGUGGAUUCCAGAGGGGUGACAGCGAAACGUGGGACCAUCCAGUUUCAGGAAAACAAGCUUAACACGCCCACUGAUUCUACAUUAUGGUG
This is a long non-coding RNA of Gorilla gorilla gorilla (western lowland gorilla), 480 nucleotides long. RefSeq lists it as uncharacterized. NCBI's taxonomy places the organism in Eukaryota, Metazoa, Chordata, Mammalia, Primates, Hominidae. The record is from RefSeq and is a predicted model, not a curated record. The transcript is spliced from 3 exons.